UAGGCUCAUGUUAUUGAGAGAGAGAGAGAGAGAGAGAGAGCCGCAUAAGAAAAAGAAAGAAGCAUCGCUGCACAACUGGGUGGCUGAAAUCCGGUUCCUCCAACAUAGAAGCGCCGUUUGGGGUGGAAUCCGAUGGGUGAGGCCGCGUGAUGAUGGAUUUACGGCAGGGGGAAGCACCGAUAUACCCCCUCGUCGGCUAUAGAAGGCAGUACGGUUAGGGACCCAACAUGCUUUGAUAGUUGUACGCUGCAAUCAAUGUGCCUCUGAUUCUAACUCAGGUACCGUUACUCCUAUACAUUUGUGUGGAAUUUUCUUUCAUAAAUGUCAACUAGCUUCAGAAGUGAUAGUGAUGCUCCCUCAAGUGUGUAGGAACUUGGAUUUAGAGGUAGAGGGAAGGGCUUUGAAGGAAGUAAUGAAACCAACUGAUGACGGGUCUAAUUAAUCUGAAACUCCCAACAAACAAGUUCUAGCAACUCCCAACAAAGCACCAGCGACAACCCCACUAGCUAUGAAGAAUUCAGAAUUGCAAACUCAGAUAAAUCUUGCUCUAAAAGAUCUAUAGAAAGCAAAAGAACAAUUGAGAACCUAAAAGAAGCACAAAGAGUAACUAAGGAAGCAAAUGAGAAACUUAUGGAGGCAUUGGUGGCUCAAAAACGGGUUGAGGAGGAUUCUUAAAUUGAGAAAGCUCCGCAGUUUUGAAUCCGGACAUGCUGGAAUUGAAGCUAUUCAAAAGAUGGAAGGUAGAAAGAGCUUUGAAGGUGUAAGGAACCAGCAUGCUUAGUAUGUGGCUUGAAAAUAAGUAACUUUUUUAGGGAAAAAUUUUGGUAUUUUUUGUAUAGGUGUGAUCUUUAUGAAUUGCAUGAAACUUAUUGUUAAUUGAAAUUCAUUUAUCUCUUUGAUCAAUGAA
Long non-coding RNA from Lotus japonicus, 907 nucleotides. RefSeq lists it as uncharacterized. Lineage: Eukaryota; Viridiplantae; Streptophyta; Magnoliopsida; Fabales; Fabaceae. The transcript is spliced from 4 exons. The record is from RefSeq and is a predicted model, not a curated record.